Molecule: long non-coding RNA, 107 nt
Organism: Sinocyclocheilus grahami
Lineage: Eukaryota; Metazoa; Chordata; Actinopteri; Cypriniformes; Cyprinidae
Exons: 2
Source: RefSeq, a predicted model, not a curated record
CGGCUAAUGAAGCCCUCUUCACCAGAAAGCGGAAUGCUGCCAUCAAAGGCUUUGAAGCUUUUGUGGAUGAGCAGGACCUGCAAGAAAAGGUGAUGGCGGCAUUUGUG